Molecule: ribosomal RNA, 651 nt
Filed under: Thryssa mystax (moustched thryssa)
Lineage: Eukaryota; Metazoa; Chordata; Actinopteri; Clupeiformes; Engraulidae
Description: partial 12S ribosomal RNA
Rfam family: Bacterial small subunit ribosomal RNA
Source: RNAcentral
CGGCGUAAAGAGUGGUUAUGGAACCAACACACUAAAGCCGAAAGCCCCUUAAACUGUCAUACGCACCCAGGGGCCAGAACCCCACCACACGAAAGUAGCUUUAUCAAUACCUACCUGAACCCACGACAGCUGGGACACAAACUGGGAUUAGAUACCCCACUAUGCCCAGCCAUAAACUUAGAUGUUUUCGUACAAUUAACAUCCGCCAGGGGACUACGAGCACUAGCUUAAAACCCAAAGGACUUGGCGGUGCCUCAGACCCCCCUAGAGGAGCCUGUUCUAGAACCGAUAACCCCCGUUCAACCUCACCACUCCUUGCCCUUUCCGCCUAUAUACCACCGUCGCCAGCUUACCCUGUGAAGGGAAAAAAGUAAGCAAAAUGGAAUCUCCCCCCAAAACGUCAGGUCGAGGUGUAGCACACGAAGUGGGAAGAAAUGGGCUACAUUGCCUGAUACAGGCCACUCACGGAAAGUUACCUGAAACGGUCACUCAAAGGUGGAUUUAGCAGUAAAAAGGGAAUAGAGUGCCCCUUUGAAGUUGGCUCUGAGACGCGCACACACCGCCCGUCACUCUCCCCAACAACUACCCCAAAAAGUAAAUAACACCAUUAAACAAAUAAAGGGGAGGCAAGUCGUAACAUGGUAAGUGUAC